Molecule: ribosomal RNA, 468 nt
Filed under: uncultured bacterium
Lineage: Bacteria
Description: partial 16S ribosomal RNA
Rfam family: Bacterial small subunit ribosomal RNA
Source: RNAcentral
GACGAACGCUGGCGGCGUGCUUAACACAUGCAAGUCGAACGGAAAGGCCCUGCUUUUGUGGGGUGCUCGAGUGGCGAACGGGUGAGUAACACGUGAGUAACCUGCCCUUGACUUUGGGAUAACUUCAGGAAACUGGGGCUAAUACCGGAUAGGAGCUCCUGCUGCAUGGUGGGGGUUGGAAAGAUUCGGCGGUUGGGGAUGGACUCGCGGCUUAUCAGCUUGUUGGUGGGGUAGUGGCUUACCAAGGCUUUGACGGGUAGCCGGCCUGAGAGGGUGACCGGCCACAUUGGGACUGAGAUACGGGCAAGACUCCUACGGGAGGCAGCAGUGGGGAAUAUUGCACAAUGGGCGGAAGCCGGAUGCAGCAACGCCGCGUGCGGGAUGACGGCCUGCGGGUUGUAAACCGCUUUCGCCUGUGACGAAGCGUGAGUGACGGUAAUGGGUAAAGAAGCACCGGCUAACUACGUG